GUUCAGAACGUCGUGAGACAGUUCGGUCCCUAUCCGUCGUGGGCGUAGGAAAUUUGAGAGGAGCUGUCCUUAGUACGAGAGGACCGGGAUGGACAUACCUCUGGUGUACCAGUUGUCGUGCCAACGGCAUCGCUGGGUAGCUAUGUAUGGACGGGAUAAGUGCUGAAAGCAUCUAAGCAUGAAGCCCCCCUCAAGAUGAGAUUUCCCAACUUCGGUUAUAAGAUCCCUCAAAGAUGAUGAGGUGAAUAGGUUCGAGGUGGAAGCGUAGCGAUACGUGGAGCUGACGAAUACUAAUCGAUCGA
RNAcentral lists this ribosomal RNA (302 nucleotides) under uncultured eukaryote. RNAcentral describes it as "partial Bacterial large subunit ribosomal RNA". It matches the Rfam family "Bacterial large subunit ribosomal RNA", at positions 2609 to 2912 of the family's 2925-position model. The record is from RNAcentral.